GGGGGAUUCAAGCUUUCAGGGACCACUGAGAUGCAGACCAAUGCAUCUAACUUAUACUCGGUGUCCAAUGACACAAAAGCUGAGGUCUUCAGUCAAGGUGUCAAGGAGACCACGUUCUCUCUAAAUAUGGGUGUGGCGCCAGAAUUACCUCGUGCUCUCUCUCUUCUGUCAAAUGAGAAUGAAUUUAUUUCAAUUGGCCACUCCAAGCAUGUAAACCAGAUCAUCAUACCGGAGCAGGUGACGCAUGCAAUUCCUCAGAGUUUGCCAUUUGAGUCCAGUGAACGCUGGCAAGCUGAGCAACAUCUAUUCAAUCCACACAUUCAUACGUUGGUUGCGAAUGGUCACAGUGGUGGUAGCUUUCAGGAAA
RNAcentral lists this unclassified non-coding RNA (367 nucleotides) under Hevea brasiliensis (rubber tree). The record is from RNAcentral. Lineage: Eukaryota; Viridiplantae; Streptophyta; Magnoliopsida; Malpighiales; Euphorbiaceae.